AGGACCGCUACUUUCAGACAGUCUGGGGGAUUUUUUCUUCAGUUCCAAGGGCCGAAUAGAGGAAAAAAAGCAAGCAAGGCAUCUUUGGCCAGAUGGAUAAGAGAUAAUAUCAAGCAUUGUUAUCAGCUUGAAGUAAUUGAUCUUCUUCCGCGUCAGUUAGAAAGCAUUAACCCAUUCGUGCCGCCUACAGACUCCAAGAAAAGAAAAUUUCAGGACAACCUUAUUCCUGGUUUGAUUUAAAUAUGUACCUGAAUGCAUUGACACGUAGUGAUGUCCAGAGGAAGUGGGUGCUGAUGCAGGAAAUGACUGUUACCAGGUAAACGCCCCUGAGGUCCAUCUGUGGCUCCCCAUUGCUCGUAUGUUUGUGCGCCAUAGCCAUA
Hyla sarda is the source of this 380-nucleotide long non-coding RNA. RefSeq lists it as uncharacterized. The record is from RefSeq and is a predicted model, not a curated record. The transcript is spliced from 3 exons. NCBI's taxonomy places the organism in Eukaryota, Metazoa, Chordata, Amphibia, Anura, Hylidae.